GAUCAUGGCUCAGGAUGAACGCUAGCGACAGGCUUAACACAUGCAAGUCGAGGGCAGCAUAAAAGUAGCAAUACUUGGUGGCGACCGGCGCACGGGUGAGUAACGCGUAUGCAACCUACCUAUCAGAGGGGAAUAACCCGGCGAAAGUCGGACUAAUACCGCAUAAAACAGGGGCACCGCAUGGUGAUAUUUGUUAAAGAAAUUCGCUGAUAGAUGGGCAUGCGUUCCAUUAGGUAGUUGGUGAGGUAACGGCUCACCAAGCCGACGAUGGAUAGGGGAACUGAGAGGUUGGUCCCCCACACUGGUACUGAGACACGGACCAGACUCCUACGGGAGGCAGCAGUGAGGAAUAUUGGUCAAUGGGCGGGAGCCUGAACCAGCCAAGUCGCGUGAAGGAAGAAGGAUCUAUGGUUCGUAAACUUCUUUUGCAGGGGAAUAAAGUGCAGGACGUGUCCUGUUUUGUAUGUACCCUGAGAAUAAGGAUCGGCUAACUCCGUGCCAGCCGCCGC
This 509-nucleotide ribosomal RNA is filed under the name uncultured bacterium. Its description in RNAcentral is "bacterial SSU rRNA". It matches the Rfam family "Bacterial small subunit ribosomal RNA", at positions 15 to 518 of the family's 1533-position model. The record is from RNAcentral.